The submitters of this non-coding RNA (64 nucleotides) gave its source as unclassified sequences. The record is from Rfam.
ACAAUGAUACUUCCGUAAUUCGCGGCCCGGUCAUAAUGCAGGCGGGGUGGUUAGAUUCCAAUGA